RNAcentral lists this long non-coding RNA (2937 nucleotides) under Gossypium barbadense (sea-island cotton). RNAcentral describes it as "long non-coding RNA (GBAR_LNC021241)". Lineage: Eukaryota; Viridiplantae; Streptophyta; Magnoliopsida; Malvales; Malvaceae. The record is from RNAcentral.
UACUUUUCACAACUCAGUAUGGUUUUUCUUAUCGAAAUACCAUACCUACUUUUCACACUUUGCCAUGGAUCCACCAUGGACUUAUCCGUCAAUUCAUCACUGGUUACUGAACGUAUGUACUCAAUCCUGCGUAUCUCUUAAUUUAAACUAACAAUCUCAUUUCAUUCUCAUUUUUACCAAAAUCGUAAUUCAACAAUAAUAUACAGAUUGAUACAUUAUAUCAUUUCCACAUUAACAAUUAAUCAUAAAAAUUCAGCCAUAUGAACUUGCCUGGGCCAAUUUGCAGGAGUUGUAAAAGUUCAGAAACUAGUUCAAUACUUUCUCUUUUCCGCGUUUAUCUUUGGAUUCCCGAUCUAUAAUAUAAAAUUUUCCAUUCAUUAGCAUCUAAUUCAAUACUAAUUUACUUCACAAUUUAUGCCUUUCAAUUUUUGAAAUUACACUUUACCCCCAAAAUUUACAAUUUUUACAAUUUGGUCCUUACUCAAUUAACCCUUCAAUUGAUCUAAUUUUUCUCAAUUAACACCUUAUCCAACCAUUUUAGACUAAUAAACAGCCUUUGAUAUUCAUAAUUUCAGUACAAACCCCAAUUCCUAACUUUUUUUCACAAUUAGGUCCUAAAAAUCAUUUUCUACUAAAAUCACUUAAUAAGAUUGUAAUAUAAUGAAAUUAAAACUUAAAAUCUAUAAUAAUUCAUCAUAAAAUUCCAGAACUUAUUCAUGGUAACUUAAAAAAUCACCCAUGGUGUAACACCCCUUACCCGUAUUCGAUGUCGGAAUAGGGUACGAUGUAUUACCAGAACAUAUACACUUUUAACCAUAUUAAACCGAGAUGUAAAAUUUCAUCUAAACUAAAACUUUCAAAUUGUUAUUCUUAAUUCGCUAAUUAGGGUUUACAUAGCCCAAUAUACUCACAAUCUUUCAUUUCCUUGUCGUAUGAAUUUAAAAAUUUCCAUUUAUUUAUUGAAUUCAUCACGAGUACCUGAAUUGAUCCGUAUCAUUACAUAUUCUCAUGUCGUCACAUUUUCCUAUUUAACUAUUGUAAUAUAUCAAAGUGUCACAUAUACAUUAUCCAUUCAUCUCCCAUACAACUAUCAAUAUUAGCCACAAAGAUGGAACAAAUUUUCUCUAUUCGAUGUUAAAUCAAAACAUGUUACUUCAUUACCAACUACCCUUACUAAAUAUACACCUUAAAUUAGCCCAAGUGUUUAACCAUUCACCCAUGACAUAAAUAUAUUUUAUCUAUUAUUGCAGAAUAUAGAUGUGCUACCCAAAUCAUAAUUCACCUCACAUAGUAACUGAGUUAAUUUUUAUCAUUUGUCAAAUAAAUUACAAAACAAAUUAUAUAACAAAAUAUAGAUACAUUUUAAACCUCACCAAUAAACAAAUUCUCAUGGCAUUAAAUAAUUAUCAUGCAUCAAAUACAAAUGUAUUUGAUAUUUCUAUCACAUAAACCAGAUUAAUCAAUGCAACCUCAAUGAUGUAAUCAUCCUUUUAACUUACUUAACCAAGCCAAAUUAUACCAUCAUCUCACACAUAGAAUGACCCACCUAUCAUACUUCUCAAUUAUGUCACUUAAUAGACCAAAUAUACCUAACAUUUAUCAUCAUGAUCAAUCCACAACCAAAAUACAUCCAUAUAUCUAAAUUACCACACACACAUAUAUAUACCAUACACACAUACUAUAAAACUUUAUUUUCCCCAUGAGCUUAAAUCAUGACCAAUAAUGCACAAAUAUAAGUAUCAUUUCUAUUUCAUCAUUUAUCAAUUAUAAUCGAACAUAUGACCAAUUAUAGACAAAUCAUUUAUAUAUUCUCUAAUUUUCCUCCUCCUCCUCUCCAUUCCACAUCCUUAAUGUGUAUAAUACAUUUAAGCAACAUUUUCCAUACUAUCACUAUUUUCCUGUAUGUAAAUUCAAGCUGUCUAUCUGAGUCAGAGUCACUAAUUUAUUUAUAUCUCAAUCUGCAUAGCUCCAAAUUAAGGUCUGUUAAUUUUUUCUGAAACUAGACUCACAUAUCUUUUCACCAUAAAAUUUUUAGAAUUUUUGGUUUAGCUAAUAAGUACAGUUUAUUCUUUAAAGUUUCCCCUGCUGCACUGCUCGACACUUCUGACCUCUCUUCACUAAAAAUUGAUUAUCUCAUUGUACAUAAUUUGGAUGGUAUUCCCAUUUAUUUAUAAUGAAAAUAGACUCGUUUAGGAUUCUAAAACUAUAAGUUUUAACCCCUAAUUAAUUUUUUACAAUUUUUAAUGAUUUUCCAAAGUCAGAACAGGGGAUUCCAAAAUUAUUCUGACUCUGCAUCACAAAAUUUAUUAUAUCUCAUGAUUUACAAUUCCAUUGCUUACACCGUUUCUUCUAUGAGAAACUAGACUCGAUAAGCUUUAAUUUCAUAUUUUAUUCAUAUUCUAAUUCGAUUCCCACGAUUUUUGGUGAUUUUUCAAAGUUGGCACACUGCUGCUGCCCAAAACUGUUUUAGUGCAACAUUUUAAUUACCAUUUUGACCCUAAACUUUUAACACAUGACAAUUUCAUCCCUAGGCUCGGAAAAUGAAAUUCUUGCAAUUCAACCCUUGAUCCAAGCCUAAUAGUUCUCAUACAUAUCAAUAACAGCCCAUGGAUUCCAUGAAAUUUUAGAAUUUCUCCACAAUUUCAAUACUUUUCAAGUUAAUCCCUAAAACAUGUUUUCAUCCAAAAUUCUUUAAUAAAACACCUUUAAACAUCCAUUAAGAUCUCAAUUUCAUCAUAAAAUAACAAAAAUCAUAUGAACUUAUCAUUUUUAUCUUCCAAAACCUUCAACAAAAUGAGAAACUAGUAGAAUACUAAGUUGGAUCUAAUUGUAAAAGUCUAAAAAUAUAAAAAUUUCAAGGAAAAAGCAAGAAUUAAACUUACUUGAAGCCAAAAUAUGGAAUACCAGCUCCAAACCCUCUGCCAUGGCUGUUUCCCA